Molecule: unclassified non-coding RNA, 3278 nt
Organism: Stegodyphus dumicola
Lineage: Eukaryota; Metazoa; Arthropoda; Arachnida; Araneae; Eresidae
Source: RefSeq, a predicted model, not a curated record
UAGGUUCUCAUUUCAGCAUGCUCAAACAUUCUAUCCGCGAAGAAGUAGGAUAAGGACAUUAAAGAAAUCAAACAUGAAAACAUUUCCUUGAAUCUGUAGCAUUCGCUCCUACAUCAUUGUGCAUUGUUUCGCUAGUUCAUAAUAUGAUGCAGUUCUUCGAAAUGAUAUAAGGGAAAUAUAGCAUGUACUAGAAAUAUUAUUCAUUACAACAGAGUCCGAAACUGUUCUGAGAUACAAGUUAAGAACAGGAUUCUGUGUCUGGUUUAGACACGGCCCAAAACCAGAUAUGUUUACCAUGCUCUAUGCGUUAUACCAGGGGUAGUCAACCUUUUUAUACUUACAGCCCACUUUGAAGGUAGGAAAAGUUCCUUACCGUCUACCAGUUCCGCAGUAAGUUAAUUUACCGUAAAUGCAAAGUAGAAAAAUGAAUAAAGUAUCAGGAAAAAGAGUAAUUGACCAAAUGUUUAAGCGAUGGGUGGCUGACUUCAGAAAUGGAUACUAAAGCAUCCCCAUUGAUUCACGAGAAAGACGUUCAUUGACAGCACCAGCACUUGCAAAUAUCUACACUGUGCUGCAUGUGAUCAUGGAUGGUUAUUAAAUUACUGUUAACAUAGUGUCUGAAUGUUUCCUGUCGACCGAAAGUGGGCAACUCCUAAUACAUUAAUAACUGUCCAUUAACAAAUUAUCAACUCAUUGGGUCCCCACGAACAAGAAGGACAGCAGGUGUGUGAAAUUAAUGAAGAUCAAGCUUCAAGGGUUGUAGAGCCGUUAGGUUAUUUUGAAGCAGGAGACAUGAAAAAUGAGCAGUGCCCUCGCCGGGACUCGAAAUGGGCCUCUCGAACACGCGCCAAGUGUGCUUCCGCUAUACCACUCUCCCUUUUAAAGAGCGACUGGGGAUUAGGAGACUUAAUCGUUAAAUCCUAGUUCUGACGAAUUAUUGUCUACUACCUUUUAGUUCAGGCGCCACUGCAGAGUCACUAGAUUAUUUCGAAACUGUUGAAACUGAAUACAUGAAAAACGAGCAAUACCCUCGCCGGGACUAGAACCUAGACCUCUCGAAUAUGCGCCAAGUGUUCUACCGUUACAUCACGAAAGCAUGCUAGAAGCAAGGAGAAAGUAGGGUGUUACUUCAAUGUGGAUGAAAAGGUCGAUGAGACGGUCGUUUAAAUGUGUGAGACUCAGAAAAAGUAUCUCCAUACGAUGACUGUAAACAAACUUCGGCACAGAAUACAUAAAUGCAUUAAUAUAAGGGGUGAUUUUGUAAAGAAAUCAUAAUCAGAAACUGCAGUCUAAUCAUCCCGUUCAUUAUGAGACUCAAAAUAUGUCACCCUUUCCUCAUAUAAAGUAAGCAGCAAGUUUAUAAGUUCAUGUUCGUAGAAACUAAAUUUGAUGCUACUAGAAAGGUGAAGUAAAUAUAAAAUUUCAGCUACGUUAUAUCUAAACAAUAUCACAAUUAACGUGAAGGAAGGGAAAAUAUAUAUACAUUAUAAAUUAACAUCAACGCAGUCAAGAAUUUGGUUCACACGUGACCAACCACAUUGCUCAUUAAAAGCCAAACAGAAGGUGGGGAAAAUUAUAUGCAAAACAUAUAUGAUAAUACAUGAGGGGGAUAAUUGAAUCGAGGGAAAACGUACGUGAUAAUCGAACUUCACCAAUGUUUCACAGGCACAGCCUUAUCACAGUAACUUUACAAUUUCGUCACUGUUUUGGUGCAGAUUUUCCCGGAGGAUGAAUCAUAUGAUCUCCAAGCUCUCUCUCCUUACCACCAAACCACUCGAAAUGACUUUUCUCUGACCAUUACUUUUUAAAUUCCUCUUUACAAUUUCCUUUACCAAACCUUUUUCGAAUUGAUAUAGCAAGUAUACAUAACUUAUUACUGUACCGAUCAGGGCGGCAUAUGGUUAGUGAAAAAAACUAGGAGCCUCGUCCGUGACUCGGUGCUUUUCCUCAGCGUCCGUUCAAUGCCUCUUUCUACUUCUGUCAUCUAAACCGCGUAUGAUUAACAGUUCAGAGAAAAAUCAACUGGAGCGGCCUCCAGUACGUAAAGCAAAAUCUGAUUUUUGGUUCCAGAACAAGUGCGACUACCUUACAUCUAUUUUUUUGUUAAACAAAACAAAAAUGCCUUCAAAGAAAAUUGAUAUAAUGCUUCGUUCAGGAGAUAUGAGAGAUAAAAUUCUGGUAGCUUCAUCUUUGGGCUUAAUGACUUAUCAAAUGAAGGCUAGUCGUGAUUUAAUAUCGGUGAUGUUCUCUCGAACCCAUUGAUUUUGUCUCAGGCAUUGCAACUUGGUCAUUGAAUUCAUUCGAGCACAUUGAUUAUUUCAACUCAAGAAAGGAACAUAUUUUGAUUUAGGAAAUGUUCCAGCAAUACCAAGAAUUUUAGAAUGUGGUAGACAAUCUGUAAUCCAUCGAUACAAUACAAAUUUUUAUGACGUUAAAAGUCGUCUAUUCAGCACUUGCUAUUAGAUAAUUAAAAUAACAUUCGGCGUAAUGCUGACCUACGAUUACAUCUCGGCGUCCUUACAUUUUCAGGGUCUGAAUUAUUAUCAUGAGACUUUGAAAUCAUAUGCCUACUAAAUAAUAAAAUGUACCGAGGUUAUUCUAAGGACAUUUGAACUUUCUAACCUCUUAGAUACAUACCAAAAUAUUGUUGAGUUUUUCCCUGGGACACAAUGUAUAUGCUGAAGCAAUUGUUUCAGAAACAUGAUGUUUAAUUAAUUUGAUUUUUUAAGGUUGCUAUAAUUUUAGACCAAAAAAUUAAUUUUAAUUUUUCUCGAAACUUUAUGUUCUAGAUAUUUUUAUGACCAGAAAUUUUCAUCAAUAUUAAAAAAUAUAUUUACAAGUGAUUUUUCCUCUUUCGUAACAGCUUAAAAGUGGUUAAGUAAAAUUUUGAACUUUUCUGUUUCUCCAUGUUUUUCUGAACAGAAGACAUUAACAAGUAUUUGGUCAGAAACUACUCAAACUUGAGAUCCAUUUGAAUGUUUUGAAGCGCAAAACAUCCAGAGUUAAUUACCGAUUUUAUUGUCUUAGCGGCACCUAAUAACUAACGAAGAAAUUUUGUAUUAAACUGCCAGAAAAUGCUUAAAUAUGUAAAAUGUACUUGUAUGCAUAGAUAUUUAAUCAUUUUGCGGUUUUGCAGCUGAGGAUGGUGGUUCGGCAAAACCAUCGAAACUAGUCCUGUGAAAAUUUUGUAAAUAUAACCCUGAUUUUUGUUGUUUGACUUCUGAAUUAGUAUUUAUUCGGCGUGUUAUUGUGUCUUAAUUGUAUGCAUAGAUUCGAAA